Molecule: unclassified non-coding RNA, 330 nt
Filed under: soil metagenome
Description: partial contains 5.8S ribosomal RNA, internal transcribed spacer 2, and large subunit ribosomal RNA
Rfam family: 5.8S ribosomal RNA (bases 1-120)
Source: RNAcentral
GAUGCAGAACGUAGCGAAAUGCGAUAAGUAAUGUGAAUUGCAGAAUUCAGUGAAUCAUCGAAUCUUUGAACGCACAUUGCGCCCUCUGGUAUUCCGGGGGGCAUGCCUGUUCGAGCGUCAUUACAACCCUCAAGCUUUGCUUGGUAUUGGACAUUGCCAGUUUCUGGCAGGUCUUAAAAUCAGUGGCGGUGCCAUUUGGCUUCAAGCGUAGUAAUUCUUCUCGCUUUGGAGAUCCAGGUGGUUACUUGCCAAUAACCCCCAAUUUUUUCAGGUUGACCUCGGAUCAGGUAGGGAUACCCGCUGAACUUAAGCAUAUCAAUAAGCGGAGGA